RNAcentral lists this ribosomal RNA (450 nucleotides) under uncultured bacterium. Its description in RNAcentral is "bacterial SSU rRNA". It matches the Rfam family "Bacterial small subunit ribosomal RNA", at positions 355 to 796 of the family's 1533-position model. The record is from RNAcentral.
UUAGGAAUCUUGGGCAAUGGGCGCAAGCCUGACCCAGCCAUGCCGCGUGUGUGAAGAAGGCCUUCGGGUUGUAAAGCACUUUCAGCGGUGAAGAAAAGCUCAGGGCUAAUACCCCUCGAGUCUUGACGUUAACCACAGAAGAAGCACCGGCUAACUCCGUGCCAGCAGCCGCGGUAAUACGGAGGGUGCGAACGUUAAUCGGAAUCACUGGGCGUAAAGCGCGCGUAGGCGGUCUGUUAAGUGGGAUGUGAAAUCCCCGGGCUUAACCUGGGAAUUGCAUUCCAAACUGGCCGACUAGAGUACGGUAGAGGGAGGUAGAAUUUCCUGUGUAGCGGUGAAAUGCGUAGAUAUAGGAAGGAAUACCAGUGGCGAAGGCGGCCUCCUGGAUCGAUACUGACGCUGAGGUGCGAAAGCGUGGGGAGCAAACAGGAUUAGAUACCCCCGUAGUCC